RNAcentral lists this ribosomal RNA (492 nucleotides) under uncultured bacterium. Its description in RNAcentral is "partial 16S ribosomal RNA". It matches the Rfam family "Bacterial small subunit ribosomal RNA", at positions 30 to 507 of the family's 1533-position model. The record is from RNAcentral.
AGUGAACGCUGGCGGUAGGCCUAACACAUGCAAGUCGAACGGCAGCACAGUAAGAGCUUGCUCUUACGGGUGGCGAGUGGCGGACGGGUGAGGCAUACAUCGCAAUCUACUUUUUCGUGGGGGAUAACGUAGGGAAACUUACGCUACUACCUCAUACGACCUACGGGUGAAAGCAUGGGAUCUUCGGACCUUUUGCGAUUGGAUUAGCCGAUCUCGGAUUAGCUAGUUGGCGGGGGAAAGGCCCACCAAGGCGACGAUCCGUAGCGGGCAUGAGGGGGUGAUCAGCCAGACGGGAACUGAGACAGGGUCCAGACUCCUACGGGAGGCAGCAGUGGGGAAUAUUGGACGAUGGGCGCAAGGCUGAUCCAGCCAUACCGGGGGGGUGAAGAAGGCGUGAGGGUUGUAAAGCCCUGAUGUUGGGAAAAAAAAGAAGCAGGGUAAUAAGGGGCGAUAAUGACGGUACCCAAAGAGUAAGCACCGGCUAACUACGUG